RNAcentral lists this unclassified non-coding RNA (434 nucleotides) under Hevea brasiliensis (rubber tree). Lineage: Eukaryota; Viridiplantae; Streptophyta; Magnoliopsida; Malpighiales; Euphorbiaceae. The record is from RNAcentral.
UUCUGCGCUUAAAGGAAAACGAACUUGUCUAGUUUCUGCUGUUUCAAAGCAAUUGAAAGCAACUGGAUUAUCAGCGGGCUCUGUCAGCGGUGAUCAGAAAAGCUCUGCUAGUGAUGUGGCAAUAUCAACUGCUCAAGUUCCUGUGGCAAGUCAAGUUACCUUGCCAACCAGUAAAAUAAGCAGGCGCAAGAUGAGUCUAAAGCAAUCAUUUAUCCAUAAAGAGGGGCAUUCUUCUGAGAACAUCCUUAAAAAUCAAGCAAAUAGAUAUUCAAUCUCCUUGCAAGAUACAGCACCCUUUCUAAAGGGAAAGUUUUCUUCUUGUCUCUCAUCUCCGAUGGUUCGUAGAUGGUGUACAUUUGAGUGGUUCUACAGUGCAAUUGACUACCCUUGGUUUGCUAAAAGGGAGUUUGUGGAGUACUUAAAUCAUGUUGGAC